CAGGAUGAACGCUAGCGGCAGGCUUAACACAUGCAAGUCGAGGGGCAGCGAGAUGUAGCAAUACAUUGUCGGCGACCGGCGCACGGGUGCGUAACGCGUAUGCAACCUACCAUAUACAGGAGGAUAACCAUUCGAAAGAAUGACUAAUACUCCAUAGUAUAUUUUGAGGCAUCUUAGAAUAAUUAAAGAAUUUCGGUAUAUGCUGGGCAUGCGUGACAUUAGCUAGUUGGAGAGGUAACGGCUCACCAAGGCUACGAUGUCUAGGGGUUUUGAGAGGAAGAUCCCCCACACUGGUACUGAGACACGGACCAGACUCCUACGGGAGGCAGCAGUGAGGAAUAUUGGUCAAUGGACGGAAGUCUGAACCAGCCAUGCCGCGUAGAAGGAAGACUGCCCUAUGGGUUGUAAACUUCUUUUAUACGGGGAUAAACCUAUCUUUGCGAAGAUAGCUGAAGGUACCGUAUGAAUAAGCAUCGGCUAACUCCGUGCCAGCCGCCGC
This 499-nucleotide ribosomal RNA is filed under the name uncultured bacterium. RNAcentral describes it as "bacterial SSU rRNA". It matches the Rfam family "Bacterial small subunit ribosomal RNA", at positions 25 to 518 of the family's 1533-position model. The record is from RNAcentral.